This 23-nucleotide microRNA is filed under the name Human immunodeficiency virus 1. Its description in RNAcentral is "hiv1-miR-TAR-3p". Its record names the gene hiv1-miR-TAR-3p. Lineage: Riboviria; Pararnavirae; Artverviricota; Revtraviricetes; Ortervirales; Retroviridae. The record is from miRBase by way of RNAcentral.
UCUCUGGCUAACUAGGGAACCCA